This 343-nucleotide long non-coding RNA is filed under the name Drosophila guanche. Lineage: Eukaryota; Metazoa; Arthropoda; Insecta; Diptera; Drosophilidae. The record is from RNAcentral.
GUAUAUAUUUAAUAUAUAGAUUUGCAUUAGAGUUUUUUUUUUGUUAUUCGGGUUGGGUUUAGAAAAAUGCAUUGGUAUUGUAUAAUUUGUUUACUUAGGCUAGGAGCACAUUUUACUAGAGUUCUUCCAUUCAUGUGGUUUUUGCUUUAGAAGGUACAGAGAGACGAGAGACUGACUGACUGACAGACUGACAGACAGAGCGAUUUGUGUUCUAUUAGUUUGUUGUUGUUGGGGGGGGGGGGGGGGGGGAAAAAAAAAAAUUGGGGGGUUUUUUUUUUUUAUAUUUUUUUUUUUUUUUUUUAAAAUUUUUUGUUUUUUGUGGGGGGGGGGGGGGCCCCCGCCC